Molecule: long non-coding RNA, 665 nt
Organism: Oryzias melastigma (Indian medaka)
Lineage: Eukaryota; Metazoa; Chordata; Actinopteri; Beloniformes; Adrianichthyidae
Exons: 2
Source: RefSeq, a predicted model, not a curated record
CCACAAACGACAAGAUAAGAAGCUACAGUUUUGAUCCUAAAAUGGGAAUAAAUGAAUAACAUAAAUAGGAAAUAAUCUCUUUUUUCUUUUUAACUCCAGCAGACCACAAAAAGCUGCGACCAGAAGUCCUGCAGCAAAGAGAGGAAAGACAUCCUGACGUUCGACCAGAUCAAGAAGCAGAGGGAGCGGCAGAGGCCGUUUGAGAGGGAGCUCCGGGAGUUGGAACGCCGCCGAUUCACCUUACAGAAACAAGACUGGUCCGGAUGUUUACCGUCACUGCAAAGCUGGUUCUGGUUCUGCUCCACUCAAAACCAAGACCAGUUUGGUCCUGGAUGGAACUUUAUCAUCACUAACAGUUAAAACUAAAGACCUUGAGCCAUGUUCAAGUGGGAGCCAUCCACCGAAAUUCUCAAAGCUCAAAAAGUAACAAGAGUCACAGAGUUUGUUACUUAUUUUUGUCAGAUGUCUUGUCUUAAUAUGAGUAUGUAGUUUAGCUUGUUUUUUCUUGUGUUAUUAAGGUGGAUGAUUUAUGUUGCUCUCAUAGAAUACACAAGAGAACUGGACAGAGUAACCCUGCCUUCCUCACAUUAUAGGAAGUACCUGCAGGCUCCAGAAAGCUAAAAUCCUGUAGACUUCUAUAGAGAAAUAAACAGCUGUUACUCGUU